AAUAGAUACAGGUCAGUUCUCUCUACUGCCCCCUCUGGGGAUAAUAGAUACAGGUCUGGUCUCUCUACUGCCCCCUCUGGGGAUAAUAGAUACAGGUCUGGUCUCUCUACUGCCCCCUCUGGGGAUAAUAGAUACAGGUCUACUGCCCCCUCUGGGGAUAAUAGAUACAGGUCAGUUCUCUCUACUGCCCCCUCUGGGGAUAAUAGAUACAGGUCUACUGUGUUCAUAAUGUGGUUUAUCAUUCCCACUGUCGUUGUUAAUCAGCAUGUCUGUCUAUAUCCAUGAUAUACCAGUGUUGAAACCAGAACUACCCUGUCAUCAGGUUUUCAGAUUAAAGAUGGUU
This 343-nucleotide long non-coding RNA is filed under the name Salmo salar (Atlantic salmon). RNAcentral describes it as "lncRNA (ENSSSAG00000120489.1)". Lineage: Eukaryota; Metazoa; Chordata; Actinopteri; Salmoniformes; Salmonidae. The record is from RNAcentral.